CGGAUUAAAUCGCAAUCAAAAUCUAAUUAAUAGGGAAGAAAUAAGAUUAAACUAAAGAGGAGGCCCGUUCUGCAACACGCGAAUUACAUGGGGGCCGAUUGGGAAAUAUCUUGCUUCCCCAAAACGCACCGUCUCAACAAGACCAGAUUAAAAACCGAAUGAAGUCUAAGGUAUUAAUCAAAUAAGAUAAAAAAAUAAAUUAAAAUAAUUAAAAGAGUAGAGGGUCCAAAUGCGCAAAUAAACCAUUGAGAUGAAACGCGCGGAUCCUUCCCUCGGGUCGGGUCAUCGCGCGAGUCAAAGGCCACUAAACGGCGCCGUUUUUGAAAACGUUUUAAGACCUAAAAAACCCUAAACCUAAAGCUAAGUGUUUCAUUUGAAAUUGCAGGGGAAAGGUGAACGCCGCCUCCAUCUUCCCUCACUCUCUGCCAUUUCAAAUUCUAGGCCUCCGCCCAUCCAACUCCGAUUCGCCCAGAGGAGAAGAAAGGCUUCAUCGGUGCACCCACAAAGGUAAACUCCUUCUCCUCUCCUCUCUUAUUUACUCUCUUUUUUACUUAAACGAAAUGAGA
This 566-nucleotide long non-coding RNA is filed under the name Gossypium barbadense (sea-island cotton). RNAcentral describes it as "long non-coding RNA (GBAR_LNC014925)". The record is from RNAcentral. Lineage: Eukaryota; Viridiplantae; Streptophyta; Magnoliopsida; Malvales; Malvaceae.